AAUGUAUGUAUUGACGAAAGCUUAACGCAACUUGUUCAAUGUCAGUGUCAUAUCUAAGACCCUUUCUGUGGAGGAAAGAAACGAAAUAUAUUUUCACCCACUUUUUAAAUAAAAAAAUUUCUCUCUAAAAUAACGUCACAGUCACAACAAUUUUAUUGAUAGACACUAGAAUUGGACUCUUUUAUGUUUGUAACGCAUAGCAUUUUAAGACAUAAAAUAAUUAAUUUUCUGGUAUGCUCGGAGUUUACUAGGAAUAAACGUGUUCACAGACUAGAAGAAGAGAAAAAAAAAUAAAAAGUAAAAUAGCAA
This is a non-coding RNA of Cinara cedri, 309 nucleotides long. The record is from the annotation of a GenBank genome assembly. Lineage: Eukaryota; Metazoa; Arthropoda; Insecta; Hemiptera; Aphididae.